CGAAAGACAGUGAUGCAGAGCAAAUCCCCAAAAGACAGUCUUAGUUCGGAUUGUAGGCUGCAACUCGCCUACAUGAAGUCGGAAUUGCUAGUAAUCGCGGAUCAGCAUGCCGCGGUGAAUACGUUCCCGGGCCUUGUACACACCGCCCGUCACACCAUGGGAGUCGGUAACACCCGAAGCCUGUAGUCUAACCGCAAGGAGGACGCAGUCGAAGGUGGGAUUGAUGACUGGGGUGAAGUCGUAACAAGGUACC
RNAcentral lists this ribosomal RNA (253 nucleotides) under uncultured bacterium. RNAcentral describes it as "partial 16S ribosomal RNA". It matches the Rfam family "Bacterial small subunit ribosomal RNA", at positions 1248 to 1500 of the family's 1533-position model. The record is from RNAcentral.